Molecule: ribosomal RNA, 247 nt
Filed under: uncultured bacterium
Lineage: Bacteria
Description: partial 16S ribosomal RNA
Rfam family: Bacterial small subunit ribosomal RNA
Source: RNAcentral
AUACGAAGGGGGCUAGCGUUGUUCGGAAUUACUGGGCGUAAAGCGCACGUAGGCGGAUUUUUAAGUCAGGUGUGAAAUCCCGGGGCUCAACCUCGGAACUGCAUUUGAAACUGGAAGUCUUGAGACCAGGAGAGGUUAGCGGAAUACCGAGUGUAGAGGUGAAAUUCGUAGAUAUUCGGUGGAACACCAGUGGCGAAGGCGGCUAACUGGACUGGUACUGACGCUGAGGUGCGAAAGUGUGGGGAGC